UCCAGUUGCUCAGACAGUAAAGAAUCUGCCUGUAAUGCAGGUGACCCAGGUUCAAUUCCUGGGUCAGGAA
RNAcentral lists this transfer RNA (70 nucleotides) under Bos taurus (domestic cattle). It matches the Rfam family "tRNA". From Rfam's summary of the family: Transfer RNA (tRNA) molecules are approximately 80 nucleotides in length. Their secondary structure includes four short double-helical elements and three loops (D, anti-codon, and T loops). Further hydrogen bonds mediate the characteristic L-shaped molecular structure. tRNAs have two regions of fundamental functional importance: the anti-codon, which is responsible for specific mRNA codon recognition, and the 3' end, to which the tRNAs corresponding amino acid is attached (by aminoacyl-tRNA synthetases). tRNAs cope with the degeneracy of the genetic code in two manners: having more than one tRNA (with a specific anti-codon) for a particular amino acid; and 'wobble' base-pairing, i.e. permitting non-standard base-pairing at the 3rd anti-codon position. The record is from Rfam by way of RNAcentral. Lineage: Eukaryota; Metazoa; Chordata; Mammalia; Artiodactyla; Bovidae.